AUUGAACGCUGGCGGCAUGCCUUACGCAUGCAAGUCGAACGGUAACGGGCCUUCGGGUGCCGACGAGUGGCGAACGGGUGAGUAAUGCAUCGGAACGUACCUUUCAGUGGGGGAUAACGUAGCGAAAGUUACGCUAAUACCGCAUAUUCUGUGAGCAGGAAAGCAGGGGAUCGCAAGACCUUGCGCUGAUUGAGCGGCCGAUGUCAGAUUAGCUAGUUGGUGAGGUAAAGGCUCACCAAGGCGACGAUCUGUAGCGGGUCUGAGAGGAUGAUCCGCCACACUGGAACUGAGACACGGUCCAGACUCCUACGGGAGGCAGCAGUGGGGAAUUUUGGACGAAUGGGGGCAACCCUGAUCCAGCCAUGCCGCGUGAGUGAAGAAGGCC
Molecule: ribosomal RNA, 385 nt
Filed under: uncultured bacterium
Lineage: Bacteria
Description: bacterial SSU rRNA
Rfam family: Bacterial small subunit ribosomal RNA
Source: RNAcentral